ACGGGUGAGUAAUGCCUAGGAAAUUGCCCUGAUGUGGGGGAUAACCAUUGGAAACGAUGGCUAAUACCGCAUGAUGCCUACGGGCCAAAGAGGGGGACCUUCGGGCCUCUCGCGUCAGGAUAUGCCUAGGUGGGAUUAGCUAGUUGGUGAGGUAAGGGCUCACCAAGGCGACGAUCCCUAGCUGGUCUGAGAGGAUGAUCAGCCACACUGGAACUGAGACACGGUCCAGACUCCUACGGGAGGCAGCAGUGGGGAAUAUUGCACAAUGGGCGCAAGCCUGAUGCAGCCAUGCCGCGUGUGUGAAGAAGGCCUUCGGGUUGUAAAGCACUUUCAGUCGUGAGGAAGGUAGUGUAGUUAAUAGCUGCAUUAUUUGACGUUAGCGACAAGAAGAAGCACCGGCUAACUCCGUGCCAGCAGCCGCGGUAAUACGGAGGGUGCGAGCGUUAAUCGGAAAUUACUGGGCGUAAAGCGCAUGCAGGUGGUUUGUUAAGUCAGAUGUGAAAGCCCGGGGCUCAACCUCGGAAUUGCAUUUGAAACUGGCAGACUAGAGUACUGUAGAGGGGGGUAGAAUUUCAGGUGUAGCGGUGAAAUGCGUAGAGAUCUGAAGGAAUACCCGGUGGCGAAAGGCGGCCCCCUGGACAGAUACUGACACUCAGAUGCGAAAGCGUGGGGAGCAACACAGGGAUUAGAUACCCGUGGUAGUCCACGCCGUAAACGAUGUCUACUUGGAGGUUGUGGCCUUGAGCCGUGGCUUUCGGAGCUAACGCGUUAAGUAGACCGCCUGGGGAGUACGGUCGCAAGAUUAAAACUCAAAUGAAUUGACGGGGGCCCGCACAAGCGGUGGAGCAUGUGGUUUAAUUCGAUGCAACGCGAAGAACCUUACCUACUCUUGACAUCCAGAGAACUUUCCAGAGAUGGAUUGGUGCCUUCGGGAACUCUGAGACAGGUGCUGCAUGGCUGUCGUCAGCUCGUGUUGUGAAAUGUUGGGUUAAGUCCCGCAACGAGCGCAACCCUUAUCCUUGUUUGCCAGCGAGUAAUGUCGGGAACUCCAGGGAGACUGCCGGUGAUAAACCGGAGGAAGGUGGGGACGACGUCAAGUCAUCAUGGCCCUUACGAGUAGGGCUACACACGUGCUACAAUGGCGCAUACAGAGGGCGGCCAACUUGCGAAAGUGAGCGAAUCCCAAAAAGUGCGUCGUAGUCCGGAUUGGAGUCUGCAACUCGACUCCAUGAAGUCG
RNAcentral lists this ribosomal RNA (1237 nucleotides) under Vibrio parahaemolyticus. RNAcentral's name for it is "bacterial SSU rRNA". It matches the Rfam family "Bacterial small subunit ribosomal RNA", at positions 102 to 1328 of the family's 1533-position model. Lineage: Bacteria; Pseudomonadati; Pseudomonadota; Gammaproteobacteria; Vibrionales; Vibrionaceae. The record is from RNAcentral.